CUUAACCGGGCGUUAAGUUGCAGGGUAUAGACCCGAAACCCGGUGAUCUAGCCAUGGGCAGGUUGAAGGUUGGGUAACACUAACUGGAGGACCGAACCGACUAAUGUUGAAAAAUUAGCGGAUGACCUGUGGCUGGGGGUGAAAGGCCAAUCAAACCGGGAGAUAGCUGGUUCUCCCCGAAAGCUAUUUAGGUAGCGCCUCGUGAAUUCAUCUCCGGGGGUAGAGCACUGUUUCGGCUAGGGGGCCAUCCCGGCUUACCAACCCGAUGCAAACUGCGAAUACCGGAGAAUGUUAUCACGGGAGACACACGGCGGGUGCUAACGUCCGUCGUGAAGAGGGAAACAACCCAGACCGCCAGCUAAGGUCCCAAAGUCAUGGUUAAGUGGGAAACGAUGUGGGAAGGCCCAGACAGCCAGGAUGUUGGCUUAGAAGCAGCCAUCAUUUAAAGAAAGCGUAAUAGCUCACUGGUCGAGUCGGCCUGCGCGGAAGAUGUAACGGGGCUAAACCAUGCACCGAAGCUGCGGCAGCGAACGUAUCACUUAAAGCGAUUCAGCGGGUUACGAUUGACGGAGCGAAGCGACGUCAAAGCGUAUACAAAGUCGAGUCGGUUUAAGGAUACGUUCGUUGGGUAGGGGAGCGUUCUGUAAGCCUGUGAAGGUGGCCUGUGAGGGUUGCUGGAGGUAUCAGAAGUGCGAAUGCUGACAUAAGUAACGAUAAAGCGGGUGAAAAGCCCGCUCGCCGGAAGACCAAGGGUUCCUGUCCAACGUUAAUCGGGGCAGGGUGAGUCGACCCCUAAGGCGAGGCCGAAAGGCGUAGUCGAUGGGAAACGGGUUAAUAUUCCCGUACUUGGUGUUACUGCGAAGGGGGGACGGAGAAGGCUAUGUUGGCCGGGCGACGGUUGUCCCGGUUUAAGCGUGUAGGUGUGUGUUCCAGGUAAAUCCGGUU
This 945-nucleotide ribosomal RNA is filed under the name Salmonella enterica subsp. enterica. Its description in RNAcentral is "partial 23S ribosomal RNA". It matches the Rfam family "Bacterial large subunit ribosomal RNA", at positions 683 to 1547 of the family's 2925-position model. The record is from RNAcentral. Lineage: Bacteria; Pseudomonadati; Pseudomonadota; Gammaproteobacteria; Enterobacterales; Enterobacteriaceae.